AUGCUUAAGAUUGAUCUUGCUAAGGCUUUUGAUCGUAUUGAAUGGAAUUUUAUUGUAUCUGCUCUUGCUCGUAAAGGUUUGCACGCUCAUUUUAUCAAUCUUAUUUAUGCUUGCAUUUCCUCUCCCAGUUUUUCUGUCAUCAUUAAUGGUCAACCUACUCAGAAAUUUAAAAGCAGCAGAGGCAUUAGGCAGGGAUGUUCCCUUUCUCCUUAUCUUUUCGUGCUUGCUAUUAAUGAACUUUCUCUUGCGCUUAAUGAGGCCAUGGCUAAUAACCACUUACAGGGUAUUUUGCUUGGUACAAAUUGCCCCCCUAUCCACUCUUUACUCUUUGCAGAUGAUCUUUUGGUCUGUGGUCAAGCAAGCAUUCGGGAGGCUCAAAUGAUGGCUCAGAUUAUUCAACAUUUUUGU
This 408-nucleotide ribosomal RNA is filed under the name Triticum aestivum (bread wheat). RNAcentral's name for it is "partial small subunit ribosomal RNA". The record is from RNAcentral. Lineage: Eukaryota; Viridiplantae; Streptophyta; Magnoliopsida; Poales; Poaceae.